RNAcentral lists this unclassified non-coding RNA (329 nucleotides) under soil metagenome. Its description in RNAcentral is "partial contains 5.8S ribosomal RNA, internal transcribed spacer 2, and large subunit ribosomal RNA". The stretch from base 1 to 120 matches the Rfam family "5.8S ribosomal RNA", at positions 35 to 154 of the family's 154-position model. The record is from RNAcentral.
GAUGAAGAACGUAGCGAAAUGCGAUAAGUAAUGUGAAUUGCAGAAUUCAGUGAAUCAUCGAAUCUUUGAACGCACAUUGCGCCCCCUGGUAUUCCGGGGGGCAUGCCUGUCCGAGCGUCAUUACAACCCUCAAGCUCAGCUUGGUGUUGGGCCCCGCCGCCCCGGCGGGCCCUAAAGUCAGUGGCGGUGCCGUCCGGCUCCGAGCGUAGUAAUUCUUCUCGCUCUGGAGGUCCGGUCGUGUGCUCGCCAGCAACCCCCAAUUUUUUUCAGGUUGACCUCGGAGCAGGUAGGGAUACCCGCUGAACUUAAGCAUAUCAAUAAGCGGAGGA